RNAcentral lists this ribosomal RNA (347 nucleotides) under Dolichovespula sylvestris. Its description in RNAcentral is "partial 12S ribosomal RNA". Lineage: Eukaryota; Metazoa; Arthropoda; Insecta; Hymenoptera; Vespidae. The record is from RNAcentral.
GUUAAAUAAAAAUAAAUUAAUAGAAGAUAUUAAAUGUUAUAUCAUUAAAUUUAAAAGAUUUGGCGGUACUUAUAAAUUAGAGGAACCUGUAUAGUAAUUGAUAAUCCACGAUAAGAUUUACUUAAAAUAAAAUUUAUGUAUUGCUGUUUUUAAUAUUUAAUUAAUUUAGAUUUAUAAAAUUAAUAAUUAUUAAAUAAUUCAAGUCAAAAUAUAGUUUUUUUAAGAUUAAUAUGGGUUACAUUUAAUUUUAUUAAAUUAAAUGAAUUAAAAAUUUUAAUAUUUUUAUGAAAAUGGAUUUAAAAGUAAAUUUAAUUAAUUAAUUAAUUUGGAAGAAAAAUUAAGUAUGU